Gavialis gangeticus (Gharial) is the source of this 3271-nucleotide long non-coding RNA. RefSeq lists it as uncharacterized. NCBI's taxonomy places the organism in Eukaryota, Metazoa, Chordata, Crocodylia, Gavialidae. The record is from RefSeq and is a predicted model, not a curated record. The transcript is spliced from 3 exons.
UUUCUCUCUGCUUUAAAAGAUGUAAAUUUGCAAAGCACCUCUAAAAUUGAACCAAACUUGGAGAAUGCAGACGGUACUGGUAACUCCAGGAAACAGAAAUAGAAGAGCCUAUAAUGUAUUUAAAGCCUCCAAAAUUAGAUUGUAUUGCUGCCAUUUUGCCUUCUUUUUAAUUGUUCUAAUGGAAAGAGGGAAAAAUUAAUUUCAACUCUUCAGAGGUUGUAAAAUUUGUUUGUCAGCACUCAAUCACAUGGAACAGCUGCUUUGCACUGGUAUGGGCAAGACCCAACUGAACAGCAACCAGCCCAGGCAAACAGUGCUUAGAAGCAGUAAGGAACUCUCUACGGUCUUUAUGCGAUGCGUAACAGCAGAACUGUAAAAUAACUUGUACAGAAACUACACAUCCCAACUCAAUGGCAGCUUACUAGAGAGAAGGGAAGAGUGUCUUUGCUGUGGGAUACUCAGAAUGAAAACCUAGGCCCCCUCUACCCCUGGAAACCUGUUAAGGAAAAACCAAAAACCAACCAAAAAAAAUCAAAAACCAAACACAAAACCUAACCAAACCAAAAACUCCAUCGCUAUGGAGGGAUAUUUAAAGGAUUGUCUCAGAUAGAAAAUAAGGAAUGACAGGAAUGGUUGCUCCCAAAAUUAAAUAAAACCAAGAGGCAGAUCUGAAGAAUGGGCCAGACUGAGGAGCUGGAGGCUUCCCAGCUUUGGACACUGAACCCUCUAUUACUAGAGAGAGUUAAUUUUUGAAGAAACAAAAACACAGCAAAUAAAAUGGCUUAGUCCUGCUAGGCCUGCAGCUCAAGGGUGGGCUGAAAUAUUCAUUUUUAUAUUCCGCCCACAUUGAAAAUGCAGGAGCAUUUUUAAUUCAGAAAAGACAGGACUAACAGCACUAACCUGAGUCAGGACUAAUGCUGACAUGCAUCAUAUAAGAAACUCUCUCACACAGCUCUUUCAGUACACUACAGCUCUGACCUUCAGCAGCAUUUGCUGUUCCAGUCCUUGGCCUCUUGAGGAAAGACUGACAACUGUGCAAUCAAGAGAGACUGCCCUGACCAUUGUCUUUUGGAGCCAGAACAAAUGAGUACAGGAAGAGACCUAAUGAUUAAUUUUCACCUGUAACCUACAUCAACUGUGAUGGCUUUCAGCAGUAAAAGGCAAGUCUGUUGUUAACUCACUGAGUGCCAGACCCAGGAGAAAUAAAAAUAUUUCUUUUUUUAACGAAAAUAUAUUUCUAAAAGUAAUAAACUAUAUUCCAUUUUUAAUUCAUAACGGGGGAACAAAAGGAACAUACAGAAUGACCCCCAAAAUAAUUCUAGUAAAUUUCCAUUGGUUUAUAAAAUUAUGCCAGGGAUUCCAGUGAUUUGUUGCAUUUAAAGCACAGGCACAUUGUGAGUGGGUGUGGUAUCAGCUUUGAAAGUUAGUCUCUUACCAUAGAAGAACUCUGCCACCACCUUCUGAGUGGCUGCACUAGUAUUCUUGAGUUUGCCCUCUUACUGUAACUUUACUUAUAUGUUAUUUGCUUUCAUGAUACAUAUUAAAUUUAAAUAGUCUUACACUGAUACUCGGAAAACAACCUCAGGUGCCUUGAACUCCUUGUCUUCCUUUUACUAAAAACACCUAUUGCAAACUUCUUUAAGGAAGUUUCCAUCAUGUUGUCCUACCUCUGAAUCUGUAUCUUCAUUUCUAUAAUCUCCUGGGAUACUAUCUGGACAAAUUUUAAUUUGAAUUUAGAGUUAUAUCUCUUCCUUGAAACACAGGUGCUUCCAGAACCUAUUGCAACUCUACCUACCAGCUAAAUUGGCUAUCAUGAUUUUUUCUUCUAUUUUUUUUUUAAUAACAGGGAUUAACCAUUAUUUAUAAUUGGUCAGGUGGAAGCAAGCACUAUGUAAGCUUCCCUGGCAGAGCAUGGUAACCUCAGUCAUGACCUGUAACAUUCCCCACCAUCCUGUUACUAUUAUAACCCUGGUAUUAGACUUCUAAAACUUGCAGUUGUAGCAAAUUAUGUCAUAGCUACAUGAUGUGAAAAACAUCUGAAAAAAAUCUAAGCUGAUGUGAUGAUACCCAUUUUGCCUAUGUCUUCAAUUUGACUCCAGGCCAAGUGAAAGAUAAAUAGUACAUUUAUUCAUUAACCCACUCUAUCACAAAGAGUGCAUCUUCGCAGCAACUGAAAGCACAUGAUUCUUUGGUUACCGUGGGCAAGGCAGUUAGGGUCUUGCUAAAUAACAAAACUGAUUGUGCUCUGCUCCUCCUUCUGCAUUGCAAUGAAGCUACUGGAUGCUGUCUACUGGAAAGGGUCAGAGCAAAUCUGAUUGUGCCCUUGAUUCUAUUAAGUCAGGACUUCUGAAAAUUGAAGAAAGGAGGCCUCUGUUUGACAACCUCUGGAUUGAAGGACUGAAGAAGACACUGAUCCCACCUCUCUUCAAUGAAAGGCUUUCACAAGCAAGCCUGUUACAAGUUUUUUUCAAAUGUGAUGUUCGCAUACUGACAGGUGCUGGGAAAUGCUAGGAAACCAAUCUAAAAUUGCUCAAGGUUUCUACCAAGAGUCUACAAUGGAAUUUCUCUUCUCCUAUACAACAACCACAACCUUGCCCAACGUACCUCCUCAUAAGUUCGUUUUGAAAGGAGAAAGGUUGAAGCUGAAGGUGGUGAAGCAAUUACCCAUCCAGUAUCAUUCUUCUCUGCCUGAGUCCGGACAAAGUCAGAGCCCUACAUGAGAAGAUAGACAAAUCAACGUGCUGCUUUGUUAUAUUCUUCCUCCUUUCUGCAGAUUUUUGUCUCAGCUUCCUGGUCAGGAACACUCUCUCACAUAUCUCCAAGAAGUUUCUAUGCCACCCAUAGUAACUAAAGGCUUCUUGCUUAUCCAGGCUCACCAGUCUUACAAUACAGCAUUCCUAUUUGCUCUAUAGCUGAGGGAUUAGGACCACAUCUGUCAGCUACUGCAGAUGCACCUUGGCUCCCUCCCACCUUCAGGGAUAUUGUGCAUUAAGUGCGUUUCCUGAGGGAAAGCUUAGCUUUAACAUCCAAAAUGGCAAUCCUCUUCUCCUGAAUAAACCCAUCUACAAAACGACAUGCAUAAGUUGUCCUGAAACUGAACUUUUCUUUUCCAGGUCACAGUUGGGUAGGAAUGAUGAGCUCAAAUGCAUAGAACAGAAAUGAUCUAGUAUCAACCGUCUCUUUCAAACCUAAGAUCACCCCCUUCUUGCCAUGGAGAUACUUCAAGUAGAAAAACAAAGGGGACAGCCACCUCCCUGCCAAAGGAUUGCAG